Triticum aestivum (bread wheat) is the source of this 699-nucleotide long non-coding RNA. RefSeq lists it as uncharacterized. The transcript has 2 exons. The record is from RefSeq and is a predicted model, not a curated record. Lineage: Eukaryota; Viridiplantae; Streptophyta; Magnoliopsida; Poales; Poaceae.
UCAAACCCAAUCCCGUAGUACGUACGUAGUCGCAGCGACCUAAAAUUCCCCUCCACAACGGCGGCGCCGGCGCCGGCGCCGGGCCGGAUCCCUCAAGCAAGCUGGGCGAGUACGCACACCGGAGGUGAUGUUCCAUCUCUCCGAUGGCUCGUGCCCGCCGUGCCUCCGAAUCGCCGAUGGUCCAGUUUGAAGCCAACCAGAUCGGAGCUCCUGGAGUGCUAAGAUCCGCGCCGCAGUGUGUUCGUCACGGCCUCCCAUCUCAGGCUCCGGCAGCGACUGGUUCGUCACCGCCUCUACAGCAUCAGCUCGCGUCCUCCUCGACCUCGUCGGCUGCAAAUCGUUGGUGAGCUCCUCGGCUCCUUCCGGACCAGCCCCUGUGACGUGGUGCGAACCUACAAGGUGUUACCAUGGUGGUUAACUUUUCUGUUUGAUUUCUCCCAGGACAAGAAGCUCGAGCAAGAAGAACUACGGCUGGAGGCAACUGUUGUGUACCAUCAACAUAGAAACGUUGAUGCAGUUUUUAGUCGCAAUGUUUGUUGAGUGAUGAUUAUUAGUCCUUUGGACUAAGCAUUGCCUGCGAUGUACAGUACCCUAAUGCAAUUUUUGCUAACAAUGCUUGUUGAUCCUGUCAUGUUAUUUAUUACUUGAUAUGCACUCCCUCCGUUCUUAAAUAUAAUUAAGCCCUUUUAGAGAUUCCAA